This 273-nucleotide ribosomal RNA is filed under the name uncultured bacterium. RNAcentral's name for it is "partial 16S ribosomal RNA". The record is from RNAcentral.
CUGCUGCCUUCCGUAGGAGUUUGGACCGUGUCUCAGUUCCAAUGUGGGGGACCUUCCUCUCAGAACCCCUACGCAUCGUCGGCUUGGUGGGCCGUUGCCCCACCAACUACCUAAUGCGCCGCAUGCCCAUCCGUGACCGGGGUCGCCCCCUUUGGCCGGCAGGGGAUGUCCCCUCCCGGCAUUAUGUUGUAUUAGGCGGGAUUUCUCCCGGUUAUCCAUCUGUCACGGCCAGGUUGCAUACGUGUUACUCACCCGUGCNCCGGUCGCCGGCGG